AGACUCUUAGCUGAACGCGGAGCUGCGGCGGCUAUGCUGUGGAGCGGCUGCCGGCGUUUCGGGGCGCGCCUCGGCUGCCUGCCCGGCGGUCUCCGGGUCCUCGUCCAGACCGGCCACCGGAGCUUGACCUCCUGCAUCGACCCUUCCAUGGGACUUAAUGAAGAGCAGAAAGAAUUUCAAAAAGUGGCCUUUGACUUUGCUGCCCGAGAGAUGGCUCCAAAUAUGGCAGAGUGGGACCAGAAGCAUGUGUGCCUGGAUGAUUGAUAGCUUCGGAAAUGGGGAACAGAGGCACAAAUUUUGCCCACCGCUCUGUACCAUGGAGAAGUUUGCUUCCUACUGCCUCACUGAACCAGGAAGUGGGAGUGAUGCUGCCUCUCUUCUGACCUCCGCUAAGAAACAGGGAGAUCAUUACAUCCUCAAUGGCUCCAAGGCCUUCAUCAGUGGUGCUGGUGAGUCAGACGUCUAUGUGGUCAUGUGCCGAACAGGAGGGCCAGGCCCCAAGGGCAUCUCAUGCAUAGUUGUUGAGAAGGGGACCCCUGGCCUCAGCUUUGGCAAGAAGGAGAAAAAGGUGAGUGGCUGUUGGACAGGAAACAAUUUAGGUUAUGAGACUCUGCCACCUGCCAGCCCAACUCCUGCUCUAUUUCAGAAAACAGGUUUGCAUACUUGCUAACCUACCUUUGAAGCAGUUGCUUCUAUUAGGAUUUUCAACAGGAGCAUAUGAAAUACAACAGGGCAUUAUUAAACACUAGGCCUCUGGGGAAAGUGACAAUGUUUGCCAGUAAAUUCUUCAAGCCACCUGUGAGUGUUCUGACCUCUCCUGCCUCUGCUUUUGGCCUGUGUUCCUCAUCCAGCUGCUUACGUUGGUGCACUUUGUUGCUCCAGGAAGAGACGCUUAGAGAAGACCUGGUGUUGGCCACAAGUCUCAGUAAUGGAAGGCAUGUGGUCCCUUUUUCUUCUUUGAUUAAAAAUAAAGUAAAACUCAUUGGAGAUGAUUGUGGGUAUUUCAGCAACCUAAGAAGGACACUUAGGUACUGUAAGUAAUUUGAAAAGUAAGAUACUUCUAGGAUUAAGAGCCGCCAUGGCCAGGGCAUGAACAGGAGACCUGUGAUCAUGUAACCGUAAUUGGUAAUAAGGGCUCAAGACCCAUUCAGAUUUUUUAGACCAGAUGCUCAAAGCAGUCAUCUCUCUCUAGUUUGUACUGUUAUGGGGGGACUUUGUGAGAGAAGGCAGGUAAUGAAAUGACCCCUAAGUGUACCUCUUUCUCACAGCUCCUCGGGUUUCUGUAUUUUCCUACAGGAUCCUUCCUGAUCCUCUGUAACUGCAAGGCACUAUGCAUUUUAGCAUCCCCUUCUCUUUGGUAACACAGCAACCAUUUCCUAGGCUUCUACUGUGUGUGAAGCCCAUGCUAACUCCUGGGCAGGAAGACCUUCAGUAAAA
RNAcentral lists this small RNA (1437 nucleotides) under Pan troglodytes (chimpanzee). RNAcentral describes it as "retained intron". Lineage: Eukaryota; Metazoa; Chordata; Mammalia; Primates; Hominidae. The record is from RNAcentral.